This 253-nucleotide ribosomal RNA is filed under the name uncultured bacterium. RNAcentral's name for it is "partial 16S ribosomal RNA". It matches the Rfam family "Bacterial small subunit ribosomal RNA", at positions 524 to 776 of the family's 1533-position model. The record is from RNAcentral.
GACAGAGGUGCCAAGCGUUAGGCGGAAUCACUGGGCUUAAAGCGUGUGUAGGCGGUUUGUCGCGUCGGGAGUGAAAUCCACUGGCUUAACUGGUGGCUUGCUUUCGAUACGGGCAGACUGGAGGUAUGCAGGGGAGAACGGAAUUCCUGGUGUAGCGGUGAAAUGCGCAGAUAUCAGGAGGAACACCGGUGGCGAAGGCGGCUACCUGGACAAUUGCUGACGCUCAGGCACGAAAGCGUGGGGAGCAAAAGGG